Molecule: ribosomal RNA, 669 nt
Filed under: Salmonella enterica
Lineage: Bacteria; Pseudomonadati; Pseudomonadota; Gammaproteobacteria; Enterobacterales; Enterobacteriaceae
Description: partial 23S ribosomal RNA
Rfam family: Bacterial large subunit ribosomal RNA
Source: RNAcentral
UUUGAAGCGUGGACGCCAGUCUGCGUGGAGCCGACCUUGAAAUACCACCCUUUAAUGUUUGAUGUUCUAACGUGGACCCGUAAUCCGGGUUGCGGACAGUGUCUGGUGGGUAGUUUGACUGGGGCGGUCUCCUCCUAAAGAGUAACGGAGGAGCACGAAGGUUGGCUAAUCCUGGUCGGACAUCAGGAGGUUAGUGCAAUGGCAUAAGCCAGCUUGACUGCGAGCGUGACGGCGCGAGCAGGUGCGAAAGCAGGUCAUAGUGAUCCGGUGGUUCUGAAUGGAAGGGCCAUCGCUCAACGGAUAAAAGGUACUCCGGGGAUAACAGGCUGAUACCGCCCAAGAGUUCAUAUCGACGGCGGUGUUUGGCACCUCGAUGUCGGCUCAUCACAUCCUGGGGCUGAAGUAGGUCCCAAGGGUAUGGCUGUUCGCCAUUUAAAGUGGUACGCGAGCUGGGUUUAGAACGUCGUGAGACAGUUCGGUCCCUAUCUGCCGUGGGCGCUGGAGAACUGAGGGGGGCUGCUCCUAGUACGAGAGGACCGGAGUGGACGCAUCACUGGUGUUCGGGUUGUCAUGCCAAUGGCACUGCCCGGUAGCUAAAUGCGGAAGAGAUAAGUGCUGAAAGCAUCUAAGCACGAAACUUGCCCCGAGAUGAGUUCUCCCUGAGACUUA